UGAACUUUCUUAAAACAAUCCAGUUGAGAUGCAGUUGACUUUAGGUACCUAAAGUCAAUCGCAUUUUUUCGUACCAUGACCACCUAUAAGCUGAAUCGUAUUAGCAUCGCAAGACCGAAUGAAAGAACGAUAAUUUUGUUUGUGGUUUCUAUGUAAGUUUAGAAAUUUAACUGUCAAACUUACUUCGACAGAUGUUUCUAUAAAAAUAAAUAAAAUAUAAAAUUAUUUUAAAUAAUUCAUCAAUUAUAAUAAGCUAUUAUGUCUUAAUAUAUAUUUAUUUAAUAUAAAACUAUUCGUUUGAUAUAUUUUAAAUUUAAAGUUUUCUGGUGCUGUGCAGUUGACACUUAUUAUUUUUAAACGUUUCCUUCAAAUUUUGAAAGGAGCUUUCAAUAUAUUUGGUGUUUACAAAAUUUCGGUUUCAUAAAUAUAGUUUUACAAAUUGUUUAACUUAUAAAAUAAUAUGAUGGGCUUAAACCUGACAAACUCGCUGAAUUGAGAGAAGAAAAUAUAUAAAUGAAUAUAUGUUUAUAUCCAAUUGAACAUUGCCUGAUUCAAGACAAGACAAGACAAGAUUUUUCUAUCUUGAUGGAGUCAUCCUAACUAAAUAAAUACUGUUAUUGUAAUACUUUCAAA
This is a long non-coding RNA of Pieris napi, 633 nucleotides long. RefSeq lists it as uncharacterized. The record is from RefSeq and is a predicted model, not a curated record. The transcript has 2 exons. Lineage: Eukaryota; Metazoa; Arthropoda; Insecta; Lepidoptera; Pieridae.